AUGAUGAAGAAGAUUGUGGACAUAUCAGCCAGUUUCAAAAAUGGUCUAAGGAGUCUGCAUAUGAGGGUGAUCCAAAAACUCCGUGGAAAACAAAAUAAAAAUUUGGAAUCGACUGCCCAACUGGCCUGGGUCAAAAUGCUGUGUUCCAGCUCUCAAGAGGGACCUUUUCUGCUUCCAGCCUUUCUUGCCCUCAUUCCAUUUGCGAUGAGGAGCACAUUGCUGUACUCAACAUCUGACCUGCAGAUGUUACUUCUCCAUUUCCAUAGUAAGUUAUAAGCUUAAUCUAAAAUUGCUGUUUCGUGUUCUUUUUCCUUUAGUGCUUCAAAAUUUUUCACUGACAUUCAUUUGCAGAUUUGUUGAGUUUUUUGUUUGUUUGCUAUUCUUGCCUUAAGUCUUAUCUUCUCUUUCACUACUCAGACAGAAUGUAAUUUGGACCAAGCUCAGGUCACUGAAUGGAAGACCCUGAAGAUGGACACAAAUAUAGUCACUCAUAAUAACCCAACUGACAUAAUCUGUUUGUUUCAUUCUAUUAGUAGCUCCACUGAGGUCUGAGACCAUGUAUUUCAUUAUUAUUAUAAUCUGACAGACUGCCUAACUUAGAAUUUGGAACACACUAGGCAAAUACAAGGCAUACAAUCAAUGAAUAAUUGAUUGAUUCUGAUGCUCUAAUAUACAUCCAUAUUUGCUUCCGGGAAGUAGUUUAGUUGUCAAGGAUCAAGUUCUAGAAUGAAUAAUUAAUCAUUUAUCAAAUGCCUCCAACAGGCAAGGUCAAAUGUGAUAGAAAGGAUGAAAGCCAUUAGGAGAUUGUUGAUAUGUACACUAAUCCAUUUCAGAAGUGUCAGUUUGCAUUUGUUGGUGGUUAGUCUAUGGAGCAUUGCAGAUUGCAGCUUUAUCAAAAGAUGCACUUUUCUACACUUCCUAACUAGAGGCCAGAUAAGAAUGGAACCCAUACACUACACUUUGUGAAAUCUGCCUUCUCUGACAUUCUGGAUGAUCUUUUCCUGUUACUUACCUGUUUAGGAUGAUUACACAUUUCCUAUUUACAGCAGUCUUUUAGGGGUCUCCCAAGUAUGCUGUUCCUUUCUUCUAUGAUAAUACAAAUUUUAGUUGAUUAUAUAGCUGGCUAGAAUAGCACAACAUUAUCCAUCCACUUUACAGUCAGGAAAUUUCAGCCAAGUAUGUUCCAGUGUUGAAGUUAUGUCAUACAAUUGCAAAUGAAAUAUACAUCUUAACUGUGUUCUUCAAUAUUAGGAGUGGUCUUCUCUUUUUCCCUUUG
This 1276-nucleotide long non-coding RNA is filed under the name Oryctolagus cuniculus (rabbit). Its description in RNAcentral is "lncRNA (ENSOCUG00000030651.1)". The record is from RNAcentral. Lineage: Eukaryota; Metazoa; Chordata; Mammalia; Lagomorpha; Leporidae.